GAGGGUAUAGCUCAGUGGUAGAGUGCGUGCUUAGCAUGCAUGAGGUCCUGGGUCCAAUCCCCAGUGCCUCCA
This 72-nucleotide transfer RNA is filed under the name Camelus bactrianus (Bactrian camel). It matches the Rfam family "tRNA". From Rfam's summary of the family: Transfer RNA (tRNA) molecules are approximately 80 nucleotides in length. Their secondary structure includes four short double-helical elements and three loops (D, anti-codon, and T loops). The record is from Rfam by way of RNAcentral. Lineage: Eukaryota; Metazoa; Chordata; Mammalia; Artiodactyla; Camelidae. RNAcentral also lists the same sequence under 1 other name.